UCAGCCAUUGGUUGAUGGAUUGACAAGCC
Molecule: non-coding RNA, 29 nt
Filed under: Homo sapiens (human)
Lineage: Eukaryota; Metazoa; Chordata; Mammalia; Primates; Hominidae
Source: RNAcentral